Long non-coding RNA from Pygocentrus nattereri (red-bellied piranha), 1073 nucleotides. Lineage: Eukaryota; Metazoa; Chordata; Actinopteri; Characiformes; Serrasalmidae. The record is from Ensembl.
AGAGAGCAAUAAAUCGCACUGUGUUACAGCUGAGCUCAUGAGGGAGGGCGCAUCAGGUAACCAUGGCGCAGUAUGUGUUAUGAGGGGGGCACGCCGUGUGCAUUCUGCUUCUAUUAGCCAUUUCAGCAUUACAGAGACCGGUUGAUCGAUCAGAAUCUGGACCUGGCGUUGCCAUAUUGUGUUGUAGUUGGACUCAAGUGGACGAUAACAGAGCUGUGAGUAAUUACUUCUUGACUGUUCUUUCCUCGGAGCAAACUGGUGAUUCAUCACUUCUACAUAAGAGCUCAUCUCACCUGCUUUUCUUCCCUGCCUUAGACACAUACUUAUACUAAAUGGGGUCAUUAAUAACGACGGUAGAGCACAUUAAGAACAGCUCAUUUCUGCUCUAUUGUGGUUUCCUAUCACAGAUCUGUGGCUGCAUGUCAGUAACAGGCCUCUGGAGAUGAUGAUGGAUGUAAAGCGGCACUCGGGGAGGAGCGCCAUGCCUCAGCUGCUCGUGAAGAUUGUUGGCGGAAAACAAAUUAAGCAACUCAUUGAUCCGAACAGGACUGAAGCUGCUGGCAGGCAGAAUGAAGACCCCAGUGAUGCUCCCACAGUGAUGAAGACUUCAGCACAAAAACUAGAGCUGCUUAGUCCCUCUAAAAACACAGAAAGUGCCAUCAUCCAUGCUGCUCUCGCACAGGUUCCAGACAGAGUGUGUGUAACAGCUCCCAGUGGAGAUCGCUCACACUCCUACAUCCACCUCAGGAGACCCGCUGCUAACAACACUAAAACACUGCUGCAGUCACACACAGAGCAGGAGGUCAGGCACGUCCAUCCUGAGGACUGGCUCCUCUUACUGGUCUCAGAGGAACUUGAGGGCUGGAAGCUCCAAACAUUAGAAAAGCUGGAGGAGGACGUUGCAGCUCUUGACCCCUCCCACACGGGCAGCGUCCACCAGUCAGAACUGACAUACCUGUUUCUCAGGUGGCAGGUGCCCCUCAGGCUGCCCACCCUGGCCUCUCUCCUGAACGUCUUCUGUAGCUCCGCCCACCCUGAGCAGGUACCUCCCAUCAAAUCCGUAAAACAGCUGA